This 749-nucleotide ribosomal RNA is filed under the name uncultured bacterium. Its description in RNAcentral is "bacterial SSU rRNA". It matches the Rfam family "Bacterial small subunit ribosomal RNA", at positions 46 to 843 of the family's 1533-position model. The record is from RNAcentral.
GCUAACCAUGCAAGUCGAACGCUCACUUUCGGGUGGGAGUGGCAGACGGGUGAGUAACACGUGGGAACGUACCCUUUGGUUCGGGACAACUCUGGGAAACUGGAGCUAAUACCGGAUACGCCCUUUUGGGGAAAGGUUUACUGCCGAAGGAUCGGCCCGCGUCUGAUUAGCUAGUUGGUGGGGUAACGGCCUACCAAGGCGACGAUCAGUAGCUGGUCUGAGAGGAUGAUCAGCCACACUGGGACUGAGACACGGCCCAGACUCCUACGGGAGGCAGCAGUGGGGAAUAUUGGACAAUGGGCGCAAGCCUGAUCCAGCCAUGCCGCGUGAGUGAUGAAGGCCUUAGGGUUGUAAAGCUCUUUUAUCCGGGACGAUAAUGACGGUACCGGAGGAAUAAGCCCCGGCUAACUUCGUGCCAGCAGCCGCGGUAAUACGAAGGGGGCUAGCGUUGCUCGGAAUCACUGGGCGUAAAGGGCGCGUAGGCGGCGUUUUAAGUCGGGGGUGAAAGCCUGUGGCUCAACCACAGAAUGGCCUUCGAUACUGGGACGCUUGAUCUGGUAGAGGUUGGUGGAACUGCGAGUGUAGAGGUGAAAUUCGUAGAUAUUCGCAAGAACACCGGUGGCGAAUGCGGCCAACUGGACCGGCACUGACGCUGAGGCGCGAAAGCGUGGGGAGCAAACCAGAUUAGAUACCCUGGUAGUCCACGCUGUAAACGAUGAAUGCUAGCUGUGGGGAUGCAUGCAUCUCAG